UUCGGUCCUCGGUAGUGGCCCACGGACCCGUGCCCGUCACGGAAGCCGUGGACCUCGAUCGAAGACCGCC
Cellulosimicrobium sp. is the source of this 70-nucleotide regulatory RNA element. It matches the Rfam family "Actino-pnp RNA". The record is from Rfam. Lineage: Bacteria; Bacillati; Actinomycetota; Actinomycetes; Micrococcales; Promicromonosporaceae.